GUCACACCUGGCCCAAGCCCUCUCACCUGUGGUUGGACUUGCCAAGACUCUAAUGAUGCCUCCCUGAAAAGGACAAGAUUUCAACCCAGCACUGCCCUGAAUCCUGACAGAAAGCCUGCUUCUUCCAGGUCUCUUCUAGUUCCAGAUGAAUUUUGGGAGUGAUUUCUCAAGAUCUAUGAGCUCCCCCAGCAGCUUUGCUUCAAGUAACAGGCCACCAUUCCCUCUCAUUUCCAUGCGGGGCACCCAUCUGGAAUGGAGUAGUGAAGAAAGAUAUUGCUCUUUCGGAAAUCUCCCUCCCACAUGAGUUUUUCUUCUGCAAUGUGCCUGUGCCACGCCACCCUGCCUUGGAGCCAGCCAACUAUGAACCGAAACCUCUACGAACUUGCAGCUAAAUAAAUCUUUCCUCCUUUAA
Long non-coding RNA from Cavia porcellus (domestic guinea pig), 412 nucleotides. RefSeq lists it as uncharacterized. The record is from RefSeq and is a predicted model, not a curated record. NCBI's taxonomy places the organism in Eukaryota, Metazoa, Chordata, Mammalia, Rodentia, Caviidae. The transcript has 4 exons.